This 459-nucleotide ribosomal RNA is filed under the name uncultured bacterium. RNAcentral's name for it is "partial 16S ribosomal RNA". It matches the Rfam family "Bacterial small subunit ribosomal RNA", at positions 338 to 795 of the family's 1533-position model. The record is from RNAcentral.
CCUACGGGAGGCAGCAGUGAGGAAUAUUGGUCAAUGGGCGCGACCCUGAACCAGCCAAGUCGCGUGAGGGAAGACGGUCCUAUGUAUUGUAAACCUCUUUUGUCGGGGAGCAAAAGACGCCACGCGUGGCGUUCCGAGAGUCCCCGUAGAAAAAGCAUCGGCUAACACGGUGCCAGCAGCCGCGGUAAUCCGGAGGAUGCGAGGGUUAUCCGGUUUUAUUGGGGUUAAAGGGUGCGCAGGCGGAAGAUCAAGUCAGCGGUAAAAGUGAGAGGCUCAACCUCUUCGAGCCGUUGAAACUGGGUUGCUUGAGUGAGCGAGAAGUAUGCGGAAUGCGUGGUGUAGCGGUGAAAUGCAUAGAUAUUACGCAGAACUCCGAUUGCGAAGGCAGCAUACCGGAGCUCAACUGACGCUCAUGCACGAAAGUGUGGGUAUCGAACAGGAUUAGAUACCCGAGUAGUC